CCGAGUAAGGGCCUUCGGGCUCGACCUCCAACCCUUUGUGAACACAUCUUGUUGCUUCGGGGGCGACCCUGCCGUUCCGACGGCGAGCGCCCCCGGAGGCCUUCAAACACUGCAUCUUUGCGUCGGAGUUUAAGUAAAUUUAAACA
This 146-nucleotide unclassified non-coding RNA is filed under the name uncultured Mycosphaerellaceae. The record is from RNAcentral. Lineage: Eukaryota; Fungi; Ascomycota; Dothideomycetes; Mycosphaerellales; Mycosphaerellaceae.